UCCCAGACUCCUACGGGAGGCAGCAGUGGGGGAUAUUGCACAAUGGGGAGAACCCUGAUGCAGCGACGCCGCGUGGGUGAAGGAGCGUUUCGGCGCGUAAAGCCCUAUCGGCAGGGAAGAAGGAGGACGGUACCUGACUAAGAAGCCCCGGCUAACUACGUGCCAGCAGCCGCGGUAAUACGUAGGGGGCAAGCGUUAUCCGGAUUUACUGGGUGUAAAGGGGGCGCAGACGGCAGCGCAAGCCAGGAGUGAAAGCCCGGGGCCCAACCCCGGGACUGCUCUUGGAACUGCGCGGCUGGAGUGCAGGAGGGGCAGGCGGAAUUCCUGGUGUAGCGGUGAAAUGCGUAGAUAUCACGAAGAACUCCGAUUGCGAAGGCAGCUCACUGGACUGCAACUGACACUGAGGCUCGAAAGUGUGGGUAUCAAACAGGAUUAGAUACCCGAGUA
This 447-nucleotide ribosomal RNA is filed under the name uncultured bacterium. Its description in RNAcentral is "partial 16S ribosomal RNA". It matches the Rfam family "Bacterial small subunit ribosomal RNA", at positions 329 to 792 of the family's 1533-position model. The record is from RNAcentral.